RNAcentral lists this ribosomal RNA (521 nucleotides) under uncultured bacterium. RNAcentral's name for it is "bacterial SSU rRNA". It matches the Rfam family "Bacterial small subunit ribosomal RNA", at positions 1 to 523 of the family's 1533-position model. The record is from RNAcentral.
UAGAGUUUGAUCCUGGCUCAGAUUGAACGCUGGCGGCAUGCUUUACACAUGCAAGUCGAGCGGCAGCGCGGGGGCAACCCUGGCGGCGGGCGGCGAACGGGUGAGUAACACAUCGGAACGUGUCCUGUGGUGGGGGAUAACCUGGCGAAAGCCAGGCUAAUACCGCAUGAGCUGGAGACAGCAAAGCGGGGGACCGCAAGGCCUCGCGCCCGAGGAGCGGCCGAUGUCCGAUUAGCUAGUUGGUGGGGUAAAGGCCCACCAAGGCGACGAUCGGUAGCUGGUCUGAGAGGAUGAUCAGCCACACUGGGACUGAGACACGGCCCAGACUCCUACGGGAGGCAGCAGUGGGGAAUUUUGGACAAUGGGGGCAACCCUGAUCCAGCCAUGCCGCGUGAGUGAAGAAGGCCUUCGGGUUGUAAAGCUCUUUCGGUGGGAACGAAAUGGCCCGGGUGAACACCCCGGGUCGAUGACGGUACUCACAGAAGAAGCACCGGCUAACUACGUGCCAGCAGCCCCGGUCA